Neocloeon triangulifer is the source of this 711-nucleotide long non-coding RNA. RefSeq lists it as uncharacterized. The record is from RefSeq and is a predicted model, not a curated record. Lineage: Eukaryota; Metazoa; Arthropoda; Insecta; Ephemeroptera; Baetidae. The transcript has 3 exons.
UUGAGAGCGAAAAGGAGAGGAUAAGAAUUUGUAAUAUAUGGUUUGCAUGCUGUGGCCUACACUGGUAUUAUUUAGUAAAGCAGUUUCAAACGCAGGAGAGGAAAAAAUGGAACGAUAUUAUGUUAUUCCCACUAUAAUUUUCGUAUGGGCAAUCGAGGUUUCUGGAAUUGAUGUUGAACUUAGCAGGAAUGUUCUCCCUAAAUGUGAAUGUCCCUGCUGGUUUGGCGGUGAAUGCAAAUUCAAACCUCUUCCUCCACAAAAACUGAUUUGCAACCUCUCAAAUAAUAACAACUUUCUGUCAUGUGUGGCAACGAAAAAGGUUCUGCAUGAUAAUCAGUUUGAAUGUUUUAAGCAGCAAAGCAAUGCUGGUAAUAAUGGGUCAGAUCUAAAAAAUACAACACUUAUGAAUGGCAAGGAAUCUGCAAUGGAGAUUCCAGAGACCGAUGCUCAAAGUCACACCUCAUUUUUGGCGCUUGGAAAUAAUAUUUUGGUUAUAGUUUCAAUAAUUUCAUUCAUUUUCAACAUUUUGCUUGUGGCUGCUCUAAUUUACACUGGAUGCAGGCUAAAGAGUUCAAUCGCCGAAAGUACAAAAAAUAAAACGGUUGCCUCGGAUGAAGGUGAAGAGGUUAAUGAGAUGUAUAAUGCUUUCGAAUUAAGACAACAAACUGCAAAUACUGAGGAUCCAACAUACUCGGAAAUAAAUAUUAAAUG